GAUGAACGCUAGCGGCAGGCCUAACACAUGCAAGUCGAGGGAUAAGCCUUCGGGCUAAGACCGGCGCACGGGGGCGUAACGCGUAUACAAACUGCCGUUUAUCCCGGGGAAAGCCCGAAGAAAUUUGGGUUAAUACCCUAUAGUAUAAGAGCACGGCAUCGUGCACUUAUGAAAGCUAGGGCGGUAAAAGGUGAGUGUGCGUUCUAUCAGCUAGUUGGCGAGGUACCGGCUCCCCAAGGCGACGAUAGUUAGGGGUUCUGAGGGGGAGGGCCCCCACAGUGGUACUGAGAUACGGACCAGUGUCCUACGGGAGGCAGCAGUGAGGGAUAUUGGACAGUGGUCGGUAGACUGAUCCAGCGAUGCCGCGUGCAGGAUGACGGCCUUAUGGGUUGUAACCUGCUGUUGUAAGGGAGGAAUAAGGAGUACGUGUACUUUGAUGACGGUACCUGACGAAUAAGCAUCGGCUAACUCCGUG
This 475-nucleotide ribosomal RNA is filed under the name uncultured bacterium. RNAcentral's name for it is "partial 16S ribosomal RNA". It matches the Rfam family "Bacterial small subunit ribosomal RNA", at positions 28 to 507 of the family's 1533-position model. The record is from RNAcentral.